RNAcentral lists this ribosomal RNA (464 nucleotides) under uncultured bacterium. RNAcentral's name for it is "partial 16S ribosomal RNA". It matches the Rfam family "Bacterial small subunit ribosomal RNA", at positions 28 to 507 of the family's 1533-position model. The record is from RNAcentral.
GAUGAACGCUGGCGGCGUGCUUAACACAUGCAAGUCGAACGAUGAAGCCCAGCUUGCUGGGUGGAUUAGUGGCGAACGGGUGAGUAACACGUGAGUAACCUGCCCUUGACUCUAGGAUAGCCCGGGAAAACGGGGUCAAUUACUGAAUGGAAACGCCUACGCCUGGGGGGGGUUGGAAAAAAUUUUGGUUAUGGAUGGACUCGCGGCCUAUCAGCUUGUUGGUGAGGUAAUGGCUCACCAAGGCGACGACGGGUAGCCGGCCUGAGAGGGUGACCGGCCACACUGGGACUGAGACACGGCCCAGACUCCUACGGGAGGCAGCAGUGGGGAAUAUUGCACAAUGGGCGAAAGCCUGAUGCAGCGACGCCGCGUGAGGGAUGACGGCCUUCGGGUUGUAAACCUCUUUCAGUAGGGAAGAAGCGAAAGUGACGGUACCUGCAGAAGAAGCACCGGCUAACUACGUG